Molecule: ribosomal RNA, 490 nt
Filed under: uncultured bacterium
Lineage: Bacteria
Description: partial 16S ribosomal RNA
Rfam family: Bacterial small subunit ribosomal RNA
Source: RNAcentral
GAUGAACGCUAGCUACAGGCUUAACACAUGCGAGUCGCGGGGCAGCAUGGGGGUUGCUUGCAAUCCCCGAUGGCGGCCGGCGCACGGGUGAGUAACGCGUAUCCAACCUGCCCUUCACCACGGGAUAACCCGGCGAAAGUCGGACUAAUACCGUAUGUUGUCCAUUGACGGCAUCCGAUUUGGACGAAAGGUUUGGCGGUGAAGGAUGGGGAUGCGUCCGAUUAGCUGGACGGCGGGGUGACGGCCCACCGUGGCGACGAUCGGUAGGGGUUCUGAGAGGAAGGUCCCCCACACUGGAACUGAGACACGGUCCAGACUCCUACGGGAGGCAGCAGUGAGGAAUAUUGGUCAAUGGGCGUAAGCCUGAACCAGCCAAGUAGCGUGCAGGAUGACGGCCCUAUGGGUUGUAAACUGCUUUUAUGCGGGGAUAAAGUGGCCCACGUGUGGGUUUUUGCAGGUACCGCAUGAAUAAGGACCGGCUAAUUCCGUG